RNAcentral lists this signal recognition particle RNA (264 nucleotides) under Clostridia bacterium. Its description in RNAcentral is "signal recognition particle sRNA large type". It matches the Rfam family "Bacterial large signal recognition particle RNA". From Rfam's summary of the family: The signal recognition particle (SRP) is a universally conserved ribonucleoprotein involved in the co-translational targeting of proteins to membranes. The record is from RNAcentral. Lineage: Bacteria; Bacillati; Bacillota; Clostridia.
CCGUGCUAGACGGGGAGGUAGCGGUGCCUUGUACUCGCAAUCCGCUAUAGCGAGGUUGAAUUCCUGUCCUAGGGUUGUGCUUGUGAGGUCUGGCUACAGUAAGUGACAAAGAAGAUUGGGUCCUGCGCAACGGAAACUCAUGAACCCCGUCAGGUCCGGAAGGAAGCAGCGGUAAGUGAAUAUUUUCGUGUGCCGCAGGGAUACCUGGUCCGAGUUAACUGCUGUGGUAACGCUCGGAAGUACAAUUCGAAGACAGGUGCACGG